CAGUCCUACGGGGGGCAGCAGUAGGGAAUCUUCCACAAUGGGCGAAAGCCUGAUGGAGCAACGCCGCGUGGGUGAAGAAGGUCUUCGGAUCGUAAAGCUCUGUUGGUAGUGAAGAAAGAUAGAGGUAGUAACUGGCCUUUAUUUGACGGUAAUUACUUAGAAAGUCACGGCUAACUACGUGCCAGCAGCCGCGGUAAUACGUAGGUGGCAAGCGUUGUCCGGAUUUAUUGGGCGUAAAGCGAGUGCAGGCGGUUCACUAAGGCUGAUGUGAAAGCCUUCGGCUCAACCGGAGAAUUGCAUCAGAA
Molecule: ribosomal RNA, 305 nt
Filed under: uncultured bacterium
Lineage: Bacteria
Description: bacterial SSU rRNA
Rfam family: Bacterial small subunit ribosomal RNA
Source: RNAcentral